GAUGAACGCUGGCGGCGUGCCUAAUACAUGCAAGUCGAGCGAACAGACGAGGAGCUUGCUCCUCUGACGUUAGCGGCGGACGGGUGAGUAACACGUGGAUAACCUACCUAUAAGACUGGGAUAACUUCGGGAAACCGGAGCUAAUACCGGAUAAUAUAUUGAACCGCAUGAUUCAAUAGUGAAAGACGGUUUUGCUGUCACUUAUAGAUGGAUCCGCGCCGCAUUAGCUAGUUGGUAAGGUAACGGCUUACCAAGGCAACGAUGCGUAGCCGACCUGAGAGGGUGAUCGGCCACACUGGAACUGAGACACGGUCCAGACUCCUACGGGAGGCAGCAGUAGGGAAUCUUCCGCAAUGGGCGAAAGCUUGACGGAGCAACGCCGCGUGAGUGAUGAAGGUCUUCGGAUCGUAAAACUCUGUUAUUAGGGAAGAACAAAUGUGUAAGUAACUAUGCACGUCUUGACGGUACCUGAUCAGAAAGCCACGGCUAACUACGUG
This 497-nucleotide ribosomal RNA is filed under the name uncultured bacterium. RNAcentral's name for it is "partial 16S ribosomal RNA". It matches the Rfam family "Bacterial small subunit ribosomal RNA", at positions 28 to 507 of the family's 1533-position model. The record is from RNAcentral.